AUUGAACGCUGGCGGCAGGCCUAACACAUGCAAGUCGAGCGGAUGAAGGGAGCUUGCUCCUGGAUUCAGCGGCGGACGGGUGAGUAAUGCCUAGGAAUCUGCCCGGUAGUGGGGGAUAACGUCCGGAAACGGGCGCUAAUACCGCAUACGUCCUGAGGGAGAAAGUGGGGGAUCUUCGGACCUCACGCUAUCAGAUGAGCCUAGGUCGGAUUAGCUAGUUGGUGGGUAAAGGCCUACCAAGGCGACGAUCCGUAACUGGUCUGAGAGGAUGAUCAGUCACACUGGAACUGAGACACGGUCCAGACUCCUACGGGAGGCAGCAGUGGGGAAUAUUGGACAAUGGGCGAAAGCCUGAUCCAGCCAUGCCGCGUGUGUGAAGAAGGUCUUCGGAUUGUAAAGCACUUUAAGUUGGGAGGAAGGGCAGUAAGUUAAUACCUUGCUGUUUUGACGUUACCAACAGAAUAAGCACCGGCUAACUUCGUG
This 483-nucleotide ribosomal RNA is filed under the name uncultured bacterium. RNAcentral's name for it is "partial 16S ribosomal RNA". It matches the Rfam family "Bacterial small subunit ribosomal RNA", at positions 30 to 507 of the family's 1533-position model. The record is from RNAcentral.